AGCGAACGCUGGCGGCAGGCUUAACACAUGCAAGUCGAGCGGGCCCUUCGGGGUCAGCGGCAGACGGGUGAGUAACGCGUGGGAACGUGCCCUUCGGUUCGGAAUAACUCAGGGAAACUUGAGCUAAUACCGGAUACGCCCUUAUGGGGAAUGGUUUACUGCCGAAGGAUCGGCCCGCGUCUGAUUAGUUAGUUGGUGAGGUUAUGGCUCACCAAGGCGACGAUCAGUAGCUGGUCUGAGAGGAUGAUCAGCCACACUGGGACUGAGACACGGCCCAGACUCCUACGGGAGGCAGCAGUGGGGAAUAUUGGACAAUGGGGGCAACCCUGAUCCAGCCAUGCCGCGUGAGUGAUGACGGCCUUAGGGUUGUAAAGCUCUUUUCUCCGGGACGAUAAUGACGGUACCGGAGGAAUAAGCCCCGGCUAACUUCGUG
RNAcentral lists this ribosomal RNA (433 nucleotides) under uncultured bacterium. RNAcentral's name for it is "partial 16S ribosomal RNA". It matches the Rfam family "Bacterial small subunit ribosomal RNA", at positions 29 to 507 of the family's 1533-position model. The record is from RNAcentral.